AAUAUAACAGAGACAAAUGUUGCCGAAAACUGAAAUAAUGGGACAAAAAGCACUAGACGAAAAGAGAAACUUAAACAACCAACUACGGUAUAAACUACAGCAAAUCGGAUAUGCCAACGCAUUAUAUAUACUCAUCAUAUCGAAAGAUCUAUAAGAAGAGGACAAAACAAAAUUACAAACUCCACUAUAGCGGGACGUACGGAAGAAUCACAAGCGUAACAAUAAUGAAAGCAAGAAACUACUUGAUCUUAAGUAUACUCCUGUCGAUAGAAAGAAUUGCUGCACAAGUAAAAUUAGUAGUAUAUACAGAAUACGGACCAACCACACUGAGAAAUAAGGAAUGAUUGGAAAUAGUGACGACAACACAACUGAAAAACACAUAUGGGAACUGACAAGCUUCAUAAAGGGAAGCACGAAUUUGAGCGC
RNAcentral lists this unclassified non-coding RNA (426 nucleotides) under Bombus terrestris (buff-tailed bumblebee). RNAcentral's name for it is "misc RNA ENSBTSG00005029969.1". Lineage: Eukaryota; Metazoa; Arthropoda; Insecta; Hymenoptera; Apidae. The record is from RNAcentral.